Non-coding RNA from Schistosoma margrebowiei, 45 nucleotides. NCBI's taxonomy places the organism in Eukaryota, Metazoa, Platyhelminthes, Trematoda, Strigeidida, Schistosomatidae. The record is from Rfam.
AUGCAGCUGACGAGUCCCAAACAGGACGAAACGCGCGUCCUGGAU